RNAcentral lists this transfer RNA (72 nucleotides) under Thermosinus carboxydivorans Nor1. It matches the Rfam family "tRNA". From Rfam's summary of the family: Transfer RNA (tRNA) molecules are approximately 80 nucleotides in length. Their secondary structure includes four short double-helical elements and three loops (D, anti-codon, and T loops). The record is from Rfam by way of RNAcentral. Lineage: Bacteria; Bacillati; Bacillota; Negativicutes; Selenomonadales; Sporomusaceae.
GGCCCGUUGGUCAAGCGGUUAAGACACCGCCCUUUCACGGCGGUAACAGGGGUUCGAAUCCCCUACGGGUCA